CUAGCUCUCAACCUCAGCAUCAUGGUAGAGGACCUGUCCGGCUCACGGCAUCUCUGACUCGACCAGAUGAUAGAGAGCUCGUGCACAUUCAGAGCCACUCGAUCAUUCAAUAAUUGAUGCCAGGAUCGGUGAAUGAGUUUUCCAGUUAGCCGUUGGAGGUUCAUGAUGCUGCAUGGGAGAUGUUCGUGUCAUACUAUCGAUUUGAGACUCUUAAGGAUGAGGAGGCCAGCCAUCGGACCUUCGAAGAGGUUGCCAUACAUAGGCUUCGGGAUGGGCUAUACCACCUCAGGCAGGUGGCCAUUGAGUUCUCUAGUUCUGAGUCACCAUCGGACUGAAAGUCUUUCAUGGAUCAUUUGAUACGGGCGGACGUAUGGAAGGCCCUUUGUGAUAUAUGGAGUAGUAAGGAGUACUCCGAUAGAUGGUAGAAAGCCCGACAGAGUCAGACUGCCCAAUAGGAUCUGAUCAAGCACACCGGCGGCUCCAUUGGCAUACUUGUUAUAGCAGAUAGAUUGAUAAAAAUUUUAAACUUAUAUUAAUCUCAUAUUUAGUUGAUCAUAUGUUAGUUUUUAUUAACUUGAUUUCUUUAUUUAUUGUAGACAUAAUAGCUGGAUCAUGUACCACGGUAGUUGCAGUUGUGGGA
Non-coding RNA from Elaeis guineensis (African oil palm), 640 nucleotides. NCBI's taxonomy places the organism in Eukaryota, Viridiplantae, Streptophyta, Magnoliopsida, Arecales, Arecaceae. The record is from RefSeq and is a predicted model, not a curated record.